UUUCACUACAUUUGUUUGCUUUUUUAGCUCACCUGACCCGAAGGGACAAGUGAGCUUAUGCCAUCACUUGGCGUCCGUCGUCGUCCGUCGUCCGUCGUCUGUCGUCGUCUGUCGUCGUCUGUCGUCGUAAACUAUUUCAAGAAUCUUCUCCUCUGAAACUACUGGGCCAAAUACUUUCAAACUUUAACUGAAUGUUCCUUAGGGUAUCUAGUUUGUAAAUUGUAUCCGAAGUUGUGAUCUAUCAACAAACAUGGUCGCCAUUGCUAAAAAUAGAACAUAGGGGUCAAAUUCAGUUUUUGGCUUAUAACUCAAAAACCAAAGC
This 322-nucleotide long non-coding RNA is filed under the name Mytilus galloprovincialis (Mediterranean mussel). The record is from RNAcentral. Lineage: Eukaryota; Metazoa; Mollusca; Bivalvia; Mytilida; Mytilidae.